This 520-nucleotide ribosomal RNA is filed under the name Lasiodiplodia pseudotheobromae. Its description in RNAcentral is "eukaryotic LSU rRNA". The stretch from base 144 to 297 matches the Rfam family "5.8S ribosomal RNA". Lineage: Eukaryota; Fungi; Ascomycota; Dothideomycetes; Botryosphaeriales; Botryosphaeriaceae. The record is from RNAcentral.
GUGGCUCGGACCUUUCGGGCUUCGGCUCGACUCUCCCACCCUUUGUGAACGUACCUCUGUUGCUUUGGCGGCUCCGGCCGCCAAAGGACCUCCAAACUCCAGUCAGUAAACGCAGACGUCUGAUAAACAAGUUAAUAAACUAAAACUUUCAACAACGGAUCUCUUGGUUCUGGCAUCGAUGAAGAACGCAGCGAAAUGCGAUAAGUAAUGUGAAUUGCAGAAUUCAGUGAAUCAUCGAAUCUUUGAACGCACAUUGCGCCCCUUGGUAUUCCGGGGGGCAUGCCUGUUCGAGCGUCAUUACAACCCUCAAGCUCUGCUUGGAAUUGGGCACCGUCCUCACUGCGGACGCGCCUCAAAGACCUCGGCGGUGGCUGUUCAGCCCUCAAGCGUAGUAGAAUACACCUCGCUUUGGAGUGGUUGGCGUCGCCCGCCGGACGAACCUUCUGAACUUUUCUCAAGGUUGACCUCGGAUCAGGUAGGGAUACCCGCUGAACUUAAGCAUAUCAAUAAGGCGGAGGAA